Molecule: long non-coding RNA, 591 nt
Organism: Oreochromis aureus
Lineage: Eukaryota; Metazoa; Chordata; Actinopteri; Cichliformes; Cichlidae
Source: Ensembl
CUGAGGUUUAAUGUGUAAGCCCUCGGGCCUCUGUGGCAUGCAUUGACCUGUUGGCAUCGCUGUUUGUUUUCUGCAGGAGUUGCUGUUGGAUGAGCUGGUGAUGGGCGUGGCCUUGCUCUUGUUGGAAGCCCCUUCAGAUCAGCUGACCAGCCUUCUCAGACUUGCACUGAGUUUGGUCCCUGAACAAGCGGAGGCGUCGCCCUGGUUGAGUCCGGUCCUGAUUCUCCCUGUGUUGCAGCUCCUGUCCUGCUUGGGUCUCACUGAGCCGCUGUCUGACCAGAACACACACAGCACCAACCACAGGCUGGCUCACAGCCUGCUGCGCAGCAUUAGCAGGCCCGCAGAUAAACCCUAGCAGGUAGCCUAGCAGGUAGCCCAACAGGUAACCCAGCAGGUAACCCAACAGGUAGCCCAACAGGUAGCCUAGUAGGUAGCCCAGCAGGUAGCCCAGCAGGUAACCCAGCAGGUAGCCCAACAGGUAACCCAGCAGGUAGCCCAGCAGGUAACCCAGCAGGUAGCCCAACAGGUAACCCAGCAGGUAGCCCAGCAGGUAACCCAACAGGUAGCCCAACAGGUAGCCCAACAGGUAAC